This 482-nucleotide long non-coding RNA is filed under the name Medicago truncatula (barrel medic). RNAcentral's name for it is "long non-coding RNA (MTRU_LNC006604)". The record is from RNAcentral. Lineage: Eukaryota; Viridiplantae; Streptophyta; Magnoliopsida; Fabales; Fabaceae.
CAUGUGGUCUUCCAUCGGAUUAUGCAUAAAGAGACAUAUCUGUUGUACUGCAUAGGAGAUAUCAGGACGAGUGAAGGUGAGAUAUUGAAGAGCUCCUGCCAGACUACGAUAGAGAGAUGGAUCCUUACAUGGAUUACUAGUUGUGGCACUCAUUUUCGGUUUUGUAUCAACUGGGGUUAGACACGGCUUACAAGAGGACAUUCCAGCACGUGCAAGAAUUUCUUCAGCAUACUUCUUUUGUGAGAGAAACAACCCUUGUUGGUGACGAGUCACUGCAAUUCACAAGAAGUAACUUAAGGGUCCCAAAUCUUUUCAUAGCGAAUUCAGAACUGAGUAGUGAGAUGAUAGAUUGUCGCAAAUCAUCUGAGGACGUGGCGAGAAUAAUAUCAUCAACAUAGAGUAAAAUAUAUGCCAUAUGAGUGUUUUUCUUGUAUAUGAAAAGAGAGUGAUCACAUUUGCUUUGAGAAAAACCAAUAGAUGAC